GGAUUGUUAGCUUAUCUACGAGCCUUUGCAGCCUCCCCAGGUUGGUCCCGCGACUCAAAACAAUGGUCAUGACCGCUGCAAGUCGAUUGAUUCGGCGACAUAGCUAAGUUAUCGGGAAACCCCAAGCUGCCUACCCGGCGCUGGGUAAUCCGUAGCACUCCCGCGAGUGUUCACAGGCCAAAUAGCUAUGGGUUCAGGUCACUCUGGGCUUAAGAUAUGGUCGGGCGCUACGAGCAACCCUAGCGAGCACCGUUCCGUAGGUGAACCUGCGGAAGGAUCAUUAUAGAAUACCGGGCUUUCGGGCCCUAUUCUCACCCUUUGUCUACCCAACUUCGUUGCCUCGGCGGAAACGCCGAAGGACAGUAACCCUAAGAAUUAUUGCAGUCUGAGAGCUAUAUAAUAGUUAAAACUUUCAACAACGGAUCUCUUGGUUCUGGCAUCGAUGAAAAACGCAGCGAAAUGCGAUAAGUAAUGUGAAUUGCAGAAUUCAGUGAAUCAUCGAAUCUUUGAACGCACAUUGCGCCCCCUGGCACUCCGGGGGGCAUGCCUGUUCGAGCGUCAUUACAACCCUCAAGCUCUGCUUGGUGUUGGGCUCGCCUCCCCGGAGGCCUGCCUCAAAAUCAGUGGCGGCCGCCGUCCGACCUUAAGCGCAGUAAUACUCGCCGCUUGUAGGAUACGGGUGGCUCGCUUGCCAGCAACCCCCCCAAUUUUCAAAGGUUGACCUCGGAUCAGGUAGGGAUACCCGCUGAACUUAAGCAUAUCAAUAAGCGGAGGAAA
This 777-nucleotide ribosomal RNA is filed under the name Lophodermium pini-taiwanensis. RNAcentral's name for it is "eukaryotic LSU rRNA". The stretch from base 408 to 561 matches the Rfam family "5.8S ribosomal RNA". The record is from RNAcentral. Lineage: Eukaryota; Fungi; Ascomycota; Leotiomycetes; Rhytismatales; Rhytismataceae.